This is a long non-coding RNA of Orcinus orca (killer whale), 3556 nucleotides long. RefSeq lists it as uncharacterized. The transcript has 3 exons. Lineage: Eukaryota; Metazoa; Chordata; Mammalia; Artiodactyla; Delphinidae. The record is from RefSeq and is a predicted model, not a curated record.
AAAGAUCAGUCUUUAAACUUUUUCAUUUGCUUCCUUCUUUUGAGUGUCAAGAGCUUAUCGUGUCAUUCAGCAGAAUAGGGAGACUUCAUCUAAAAUUGGAAAAUGAAAAUGACCUUUGAGCAAACUAUUGUUUUGCAAAUCUUCACCCCUCGUUGAUUCACACACCACCUUCGCUUCCUCAGAAAUGCCCUUGACAGCAAUGGAAAGAAAGGGGACAUACCGCAGUUUCAAUUGUUGUGGGACUCAGGUUUUCUCUCAGCACUGCGUACACACUUGGUGACAUGGGAAGAAGGUCUGUUGGAGAAUGUGUCUCCGUUGAAUCACUUCGGCUUAAAGAGAUGACAGGGCAUAGAGGUGAAGUUGGUGCCACUCCUAUUAGAAAGGAGAAAACCGAAACUCUACCAGUGGCUGAGAGGCUCCCAUGGCCAUGGUGAAGUCCGUCUACAGCUACUGAUUACUAAGUGCUCUGCUAGCUGGACAGCCCCAGCUGUUCCUUUUCAGAAACUGCUGACACACCACUUCAUUUCUAAGGCUUUGACCUCCACAUACCUCUUAGAUCUUAUAACGAUAAAAGUAAACAUAAAGGGAAGAACUUCAUUUACUUUACUCCAAUCUGAGAUUAUUUUCCAAAAUCUUAAGAAGCAAAGCAAACGGAAAGAACCUAACCUUCACAUGGCUGGCAGCUGUAGUGUUUACCGAAGGCUUUGUCUUUGGGAAUAUCAGGAUAGAGGUACUUCAGAGGGUUUUCAGGAAUGUUUUCAGCCAUAAUAACCUUGUAGUCUCGAAGGAUGUCAGCGAAUGGCAGAGCAGACAACCGGCCUUUGUUGUAAGGCUCUACAGAGUGGAAUCUCACUUCUCCUGGAAAAAGAGAAAACAGAGAGAAUAUUCAGGUUCCUGCAGGCAUUCUUUGUGGCCAUUCUUCCUACCCACGUUAUCUUCAUGUCACUUGUUGCAAAACAAUGCCAGCCCUUCUCUGCAUGUGGACAGUACAGAUCGCCACGUGAUACAGGACACCCACAUAGGCUGUGAGAAAUUCAUGCUACCCUCCUCUGAAACAACUGUAACAACUAAUAUUCAAGCCCACUGAACACAUAAAAGACAGAACAGCAAGCCACACACUUCUGAAGAUGGAAAGACCAGUAACCAAACACAAUACUAAUUUCACAUGAAUAAAUAAUAGUGAGCAUGUACCAUUUUCAGAAUGGUCCACCCAGGUGAAAGUUAUUCCUCCAAGGUGGCUUUCACUGAAUCUUAACAAAAAGGUUCCCGGCAUUUUAUCCUUUAGCAAGAGUCGUUCCUUCUCUUUGCUAACAAAGCCCAUGACAUACCUAAAAAUAGAACAUGCAUAGUUUUAUCUGAUCAAAGAUUAUAAUUUAUUGCAUUUGCAUUUAUUGCUUUCACAAAGAACAGACCUGAAUUUGUUGUGAUAUAAUCAAAAGUCAGUAGUGCCUGAAAUACUCUUAUACACAUUAAAGUAAAUAUUAAUACUCUAUAAAGUGUAAGAAACUGCAACUACUUUCCACACUAUGACACUAGAUAUGCUUAAAAAGGAAAGAAAAGAAAAAGGGACUACUAUAAAUAAUGCAGUUAUGAACACUGGGGUGACGUGUCUUUUCAAAUUAGAGUUUUUAUCUUUUCUGGAUAUAUGCCCAGGAGUGGGAUUGCUGGAUCAUAUGGUAACUCUUUUUUUUUUUAAAGAACCUCUGUACUGUUCUCCAUAGUGGCUGCACCAAUUUACAUUCCUACCAAUAGUGUACAAGGGUUCCCGUUUCUCCACACCCUCUCCAGCAUUUAUUAUUAAUGUUCAUAGCAGCCCUAUUUACAACAGGCAAGGUAUGGAGGCAACCUAAGUGUCCAUCAACUGAUAAUUGGCUUAAGAAGAUGUAGUAUAUAUACACAAUGGAAGCUUAGCCAUAAAAAAGAAUGAAAUAUUGCCAUUUGCAGCAACAUAGAUGGACCUAGAGGAUAUCAUACUAAGUGAAGUCAGACAGAGAAAGACAAAUAUUAUAUGAUAUCACUAAUAUGUGGAAUCUAAAAAAUAAUACGAAUGAAUUUAUUUACAAAACAGAAACAGACUCUCAGACAUAGAAAACAAACUAAUGGUUACCAAAGGGGAAUGGGGGUUGGAGGGAGGGAUAAAUUAGGAUUUAUGUUGGGAUUAACAUAUACACACUACUGUAUAUAAAAUAGAUAACCAACAAGGACCUACUGUAUAGCACAGGAAACUAUACGCAAUGCUUUUUAAUAACCUAUAAGGUAAAAGGAUCUAAAAAGGAAUAUAUAUAUACACAUAUAUAUGUAUAUGUAUGUAUAACUGAAUCACUGUGCUGUACACCUGAAACUAACACAAUAUUGUAAAUCAACUAUACUUCAAUGUUUUUGAAAAGGGAAAAAAAUUGACAGCAUAAAAAUAAGAACCUAAUGAGUUCAUAUAGAAAAUAUAGGCUGUAACUCACCCAUCAAUCCAAAGGGGAAGAAUGUGUUUCUUAAUUAGGUCUAAUAUUGCUUCAAGCCAUGUCCAAAAGGUAAAUGAUUUACCAGGUAAGUGCUCCUAUUGGAAUAAACAAACAUGUUAGGACAAUGAUUAUUUCAAUAGUAAUGUUAGUAUGGUAAUUCAAGUUCCUUUUUUCAAUGAAAUAUUUCCUUUAAAUGAAAAAACAGUUUCGAGUUUCUUCUUAAAAUAACCUUAUCCAGGAAAUCCUCGAAAUCCCAAAUUAUAAUAUGGAGGCUUAAAAAGGAAUACUAAAAAAAAAUCUAAAUGAUGCUACCCCUCCCCCUGUUUGUACCUUGCAGAACUUGGCCCACGUGAGAUGACCAUCACUGUAGCUAGACUGGACUAAAAUGAAAGAAAAGAAUGAGAUUUUUAUUAAACAAUUAGACUCCUCAAUUUGGUGCUCAAUUUAGAUCUCCCCCCCCCCCACCACUGCUAAGCAUUUCCUAAGCACGUGCUAUGGGUUUACAGUGUAUUUAAUGCUAGAAACAGUAAAAAUAAAAGAUAUCAUGAAAUUUUUUUAUCUAGGAAAGAAUUCUUUUCAAUGGAGGAGCUAAAGAUAGCCUUAGGAAGUGGGUGGGUGUCUAGAACAAGACCUCCAUGAAUGGAUAGGAUAUAAAUUGUCAGAGGCGAAGGAAGAGGCCACUCCAGUAGCAAGAAUAAUGUAGGAUGAGGUGUAGUGGAUAUGAACACAGCUUAUAUAGGAGAAAGGAAGUGCAGCCUAAUGUUGGUAAACAAACAUUAUAAAAUAAAUUUGUGAAAGCCAGAAUGCCAGAAGUCUUGAAUACUGUCAUGAAAAGAAUGAACUAGAGAUCCACUUGGCGAUAAGGAACCACUGACUGUUUUUUUUGUUUUUUUUUUUCCACUGACUGUUUUGAUCCAGGACAAUGAAAAAAGAGGUUCUAUCUAAAAUUUAAGGAAAUUAUGAGAAAAAUUUGAUGAAGACCCGAAAGGAUAUGGCUGCUAUUUAUACUGUAUAUAUUUAAAAGAUUUAUUCACUCAGUAACAAAUACUUAUUGAAUGCCUACUCUUGUGGUUUAUGAAUUAAAUAAGGAUCAAAAAGGA